This 2094-nucleotide ribosomal RNA is filed under the name Triticum aestivum (bread wheat). RNAcentral's name for it is "partial small subunit ribosomal RNA". Lineage: Eukaryota; Viridiplantae; Streptophyta; Magnoliopsida; Poales; Poaceae. The record is from RNAcentral.
AUGGACUUCGGCGACGACCUCGUGCCGGGCUCCGACGCCCACCGCCGCAAGAAGCGCUACCACCGCCACACCCCGCGCCAGAUUCAGCAGCUCGAGGCGAUGUUCAAGGAGUGCCCGCACCCGGACGAGAACCAGCGGAUGCACCUCAGUCGGGAGUUGGGGCUGGAGCCGAGGCAGAUCAAGUUCUGGUUCCAGAACCGCCGGACUCAGAUGAAGGCGCAGCACGAGCGCGCCGACAACUGCUUCCUCCGCGCGGAGAACGACAAGAUCCGCUGCGAGAACAUCGCUAUGCGCGAGGCGCUCAAGAACGUCAUCUGCCCCACCUGCGGCGGCCCGCACUCCGGCGCCGACGACUACUUCGACGAGCGCAAGCUCCGGAUGGAGAACGCACACCUCAAAGAAGAGCUUGACCGGGUGUCCAGCCUGACGUCCAAGUACCUGGGGCGGCCCAUCACGCAGCUCCCGUCGAUGCAGCCGCUCUCCAUGUCGUCGCUGGAGCUCUCCGUCGGCGGGCUCGGCAGCCCGGUGGCGCUCGGCCCCGCGCUGGACCUGGACCCGCUCGGCGGGAGUUCCCCGUUCCAGCUCCCGGCGCCCGUGUCCGAGAUGGAGCGGCCGAUGAUGGCCGAGAUGGCGACGCGGGCCAUGGACGAGUUCAUCAGGCUGGCGCAAGCCGGCGAGCACCUCUGGGUCAAGGCGGCGGGUGGCCGGGAGGUGCUCAACGUCGACACGUACGAUAGCAUCUUCGCCAAGCCCGGGAGCAGCUCCUUCCGCGGCCCGGACGUGCACGUCGAGGGCUCCCGCGACUCGUGCCUCGUGCUCACCAGCGCCAUCGCCCUUGUCGACACGUUCAUGGACUCGAGCAAGUGGACGGAGUUCUUCCCGACCAUCGUAACCAGAGCGCGCACGAUCGACGUUCUCGUGAACGGCAUGGCCGGCCGGAGCGAGUCUUUGGUGCUGGUAAGACCAGACCACCGCCGACUCCAUUUUGCACGCAUGUACGAGGAGCUGCACGUGAUGUCGCCGGUCGUCCCGACGCGCGAGUUUUGCUUCCUCCGCUACUGCCGGCAGAUCGAGCAGGGCCUGUGGGCGAUCGCCGACGUCUCCGUGGACUUGCAGCGGGACGCACGCUACGGCGCACCGCCGGCCCGCUCGCGCCGGCUCCCAUCGGGCUGCCUCAUCGCCGAUAUGUCCAAUGGCUACUCCAAGGUGACCUGGGUCGAACACAUGGAGACGGAGGACAAGACCCCCAUCAACCAGCUCUACCGCGACCUCGUCCUGAUCGGGGCGGCGUUUGGGGCGCACCGGUGGCUGGCAGCGCUGCAGAGGGCGUGCGAACGGCACGCGUGCCUCGUGACGCCGCCGCACAGGGACAUCGCCGGGGUGACGUUAGAGGGCAAGAGGAGCAUGAUGAGGCUGUCGCAGCGGAUGGUGGGCAGCUUCUGCGCCAGCCUGAGCGCGUCGCAGCAGCACCGGUGGACGACGCUGUCGGGGCCGGGCGCGGGCGUGGACGAUGCGGCCGGCGUGCGCGUCAUGGUGCACCGCAGCACGGACCCCAGGCAGCCCAGCGGCGUGGUGCUCAGCGCCGCCACCUCCAUCUGGCUCCCCGUGUCAUGCGACCGGGUGUUCGCCUUCGUGCGCGACGAGAACACGCGCUCCCAGUGGGACGUGCUCUCGCACGGCAACCCGGUGCAGGAGGUGUCCCGCAUCCCCAACGGCUCGCACCCGGGGAACUCCAUCUCCUUGCUCAGAGGCCUGAACGCGAGCCAGAACAGCAUGCUGAUCCUGCAGGAGAGCUGCGCGGACGCGUCGGGGUCGCUGGUGGUGUACGCGCCGAUCGACCUCCCGGCGGCGAACGUGGUGAUGAGCGGCGAGGACCCGUCGUCUAUCCCGCUGCUGCCGUCCGGGUUCACCAUCCUGCCCGACGGCCGCGCGUCCAGCAGCACGGGGUCGGUGGUGACGGUGGCGUUCCAGAUCCUGGUGAGCAGCCUGCCAUCGUCGCGGCUGAACGCAGAAUCAGUGGCCACGGUCAACAGCCUCAUCGGCACCACUGUGGAGCAAAUCAAGGCGGCCCUGAACUGCGGCAGCAGCCAUUGA